This 678-nucleotide ribosomal RNA is filed under the name uncultured bacterium. RNAcentral's name for it is "bacterial SSU rRNA". It matches the Rfam family "Bacterial small subunit ribosomal RNA", at positions 57 to 738 of the family's 1533-position model. The record is from RNAcentral.
GCAGUCGAGCGAGCGGUUUCAUGAAGUUUUCGGAUGGAAUUGAAGUUGACUUAGCGGCGGACGGGUGAGUAACGCGUGGGUAACCUGCCUUACACUGGGGGAUAACAGUUAGAAAUGACUGCUAAUACCGCAUAAGCGCACAGGGCCGCAUGGUCUGGUGUGAAAAACUCCGGUGGUGUAAGAUGGACCCGCGUCUGAUUAGGUAGUUGGUGGGGUAACGGCCCACCAAGCCGACGAUCAGUAGCCGACCUGAGAGGGUGGCCGGCCACAUUGGGACUGAGACACGGCCCAAACUCCUACGGGAGGCAGCAGUGGGGAAUAUUGGACAAUGGGCGAAAGCCUGAUCCAGCGACGCCGCGUGAGUGAAGAAGUAUUUCGGUAUGUAAAGCUCUAUCAGCAGGGAAGAAAAUGACGGUACCUGACUAAGAAGCCCCGGCUAACUACGUGCCAGCAGCCGCGGUAAUACGUAGGGGGCAAGCGUUAUCCGGAUUUACUGGGUGUAAAGGGAGCGUAGACGGUUAAGCAAGUCUGAAGUGAAAGCCCGGGGCUCAACCCCGGUACUGCUUUGGAAACUGUUUGACUUGAGUGCAGGAGAGGUAAGUGGAAUUCCUAGUGUAGCGGUGAAAUGCGUAGAUAUUAGGAGGAACACCAGUGGCGAAGGCGGCUUACUGGACUGUA